CCUACGGGAGGCAGCAGUGAGGAAUAUUGGUCAAUGGGAGAGAUCCUGAACCAGCCAAGCCGCGUGAGGGAAGACGGCCCUAUGGGUUGUAAACCUCUUUUGUCGGAGAACAAAACCCGGGACGUGUCCCGGACUGCGUGUAUCCGAAGAAAAAGCAUCGGCUAACACCGUGCCAGCAUCCGCGGUAAUACGGAGGAUGCGAGCGUUAUCCGGAUUUAUUGGGUUUAAAGGGUGCGUAGGCGGUCCGUUAAGUCAGCGGGAAAAUUGCGGGGCUCAACCCCGUCGAGCCGUUGAAACUGGCAGACUUGAGUGGGCGAGAGGUACGCGGAAUGCGCGGUGUAGCGGUGAAAUGCAUAGAUAUCGCGCAGAACUCCGAUUGCGAAGGCAGCGUACCGGCGCCAGACUGACGCUGAGGCACGAAAGCGUGGGGAUCGAACAGGAUUAGAUACCCUAGUAGUC
Molecule: ribosomal RNA, 459 nt
Filed under: uncultured bacterium
Lineage: Bacteria
Description: partial 16S ribosomal RNA
Rfam family: Bacterial small subunit ribosomal RNA
Source: RNAcentral